AAUGACUCUCGGCAACGGAUAUCUCGGCUCUCGCAUCGAUGAAGAACGUAGCGAAAUGUGAUACUUGGUGUGAAUUGCAGAAUCCCGUGAACCAUCGAGUCUUUGAACGCAAGUUGCGCCCUAAACCGUCGGGCUAAGGGCACGUCUGCCUGGGUGUCACGC
This 162-nucleotide ribosomal RNA is filed under the name Tropaeolum nuptae-jucundae. RNAcentral's name for it is "5.8S ribosomal RNA". It matches the Rfam family "5.8S ribosomal RNA". Rfam says of the family: 5.8S ribosomal RNA (5.8S rRNA) is a component of the large subunit of the eukaryotic ribosome. It is transcribed by RNA polymerase I as part of the 45S precursor that also contains 18S and 28S rRNA. The record is from RNAcentral. Lineage: Eukaryota; Viridiplantae; Streptophyta; Magnoliopsida; Brassicales; Tropaeolaceae.